UACGAAGGGGGCUAGCGUUGUUCGGAAUUACUGGGCGUAAAGCGCACGUAGGCGGAUCGAUCAGUCAGGGGUGAAAUCCCAGGGCUCAACCCUGGAACUGCCUUUGAUACUGUCGAUCUGGAGUAUGGAAGAGGUGAGUGGAAUUCCGAGUGUAGAGGUGAAAUUCGUAGAUAUUCGGAGGAACACCAGUGGCGAAGGCGGCUCACUGGUCCAUUACUGACGCUGAGGUGCGAAAGCGUGGGGGAGCAAACAGGGAUAAGAA
Molecule: ribosomal RNA, 262 nt
Filed under: uncultured bacterium
Lineage: Bacteria
Description: partial 16S ribosomal RNA
Rfam family: Bacterial small subunit ribosomal RNA
Source: RNAcentral